CCUACGGGGUGCAGCAGUGGGGAAUAUUGGACAAUGGGGGGAACCCUGAUCCAGCGACGCCGCGUGAGUGAAGAAGUAUUUCGGUAUGUAAAGCUCUAUCAGCAGGGAAGAAAGAAAUGACGGUACCUGACUAAGAAGCCCCGGCUAACUACGUGCCAGCAGCCGCGGUAAUACGUAGGGGGCAAGGGUUAUCCGGAUUUACUGGGUGUAAAGGGAGCGUAGACGGCGAUGCAAGUCUGAAGUGAAAGGCGGGGGCCCAACCCCUGGACUGCUUUGGAAACUGUAUGGUGGGAGUGCAGGGGAGGUAAGUGGAAGUCCUAGUGUAGCGGUGAAAUGCGUAGAUAUUAGGAGGAACACCAGUGGCGAAGGCGGCUUACUGGACUGUAACUGACGUUGAGGCUCGAAAGCGUGGGGAGCAAACAGGAUUAGAUACCCCUGUAGUC
This 443-nucleotide ribosomal RNA is filed under the name uncultured bacterium. RNAcentral describes it as "partial 16S ribosomal RNA". It matches the Rfam family "Bacterial small subunit ribosomal RNA", at positions 338 to 795 of the family's 1533-position model. The record is from RNAcentral.